GGGCCUAUAGCUCAGUUGGUUAGAGCACCUGACUCAUAAUCAGGGAGUCACUGGUUCAAGCCCAGUUGGGCCCA
RNAcentral lists this transfer RNA (74 nucleotides) under Mangrovibacterium diazotrophicum. It matches the Rfam family "tRNA". Rfam says of the family: Transfer RNA (tRNA) molecules are approximately 80 nucleotides in length. Their secondary structure includes four short double-helical elements and three loops (D, anti-codon, and T loops). Further hydrogen bonds mediate the characteristic L-shaped molecular structure. tRNAs have two regions of fundamental functional importance: the anti-codon, which is responsible for specific mRNA codon recognition, and the 3' end, to which the tRNAs corresponding amino acid is attached (by aminoacyl-tRNA synthetases). tRNAs cope with the degeneracy of the genetic code in two manners: having more than one tRNA (with a specific anti-codon) for a particular amino acid; and 'wobble' base-pairing, i.e. permitting non-standard base-pairing at the 3rd anti-codon position. RNAcentral also lists the same sequence under 7 other names. The record is from Rfam by way of RNAcentral. Lineage: Bacteria; Pseudomonadati; Bacteroidota; Bacteroidia; Marinilabiliales; Prolixibacteraceae.